RNAcentral lists this ribosomal RNA (760 nucleotides) under Burkholderia vietnamiensis. RNAcentral's name for it is "partial 23S ribosomal RNA". It matches the Rfam family "Bacterial large subunit ribosomal RNA", at positions 2171 to 2925 of the family's 2925-position model. Lineage: Bacteria; Pseudomonadati; Pseudomonadota; Betaproteobacteria; Burkholderiales; Burkholderiaceae. The record is from RNAcentral.
CUAGUUUCGGUGGAGCCGUCCUUGAAAUACCACCCUGGUUUGUUUGAGGUUCUAACCUUGGCCCGUGAUCCGGGUCGGGGACAGUGCAUGGUAGGCAGUUUGACUGGGGCGGUCUCCUCCCAAAGCGUAACGGAGGAGUACGAAGGUACGCUAGGUACGGUCGGAAAUCGUGCUGAUAGUGCAAUGGCAUAAGCGUGCUUAACUGCGAGACCGACAAGUCGAGCAGGUGCGAAAGCAGGUCAUAGUGAUCCGGUGGUUCUGUAUGGAAGGGCCAUCGCUCAACGGAUAAAAGGUACUCUGGGGAUAACAGGCUGAUACCGCCCAAGAGUUCAUAUCGACGGCGGUGUUUGGCACCUCGAUGUCGGCUCAUCUCAUCCUGGGGCUGUAGCCGGUCCCAAGGGUAUGGCUGUUCGCCAUUUAAAGAGGUACGUGAGCUGGGUUUAAAACGUCGUGAGACAGUUUGGUCCCUAUCUGCCGUGGGCGUUGGAUAUUUGAAGGGGGCUGCUCCUAGUACGAGAGGACCGGAGUGGACGAACCUCUGGUGUACCGGUUGUCACGCCAGUGGCAUCGCCGGGUAGCUAUGUUCGGAAGAGAUAACCGCUGAAAGCAUCUAAGCGGGAAACUCGCCUUAAGAUGAGAUAUCCCUGGGGACUAGAUCCCCUUGAAGGGUCGUUCGAGACCAGGACGUUGAUAGGUCAGGUGUGUAAGCGCAGUAAUGCGUUCAGCUAACUGAUACUAAUUGCCCGUAAGGCUUGAUCCU